GACUUUUUUGUCAUACAUUCUCCCUGUUGAUUGGUUUGAACACUACCGGGAGCGAGUGAUUGAAGCUGAGCAAAUGAUACUGACAACUCUAAAUUUUGAACUUAAUGUGCAGCAUCCAUAUGCUCCACUGACAUCUGUCCUUAACAAAUUAGGGUUUUCACAAACAGUUUUGGUGAACCUGGCCUUAAACUUGGUCAGUGAAGGGCUUAGGAGCUCACUGUGGCUUCAGUUUAAACCUCAUCAUAUUGCUGCUGGUGCUGCUUACCUUGCUGCCAGGUUUUUAAAUUUGGAUCUGGCUUGUCACCAAAAUAUCUGGCAGGAGUUUCAAACAACACCAGCCAUUAUCCAAGAUGUGGCACAGCAGUUGAUGGAGCUCUUUUAAUAAGACGAUACUAGUUAGUAGGCUUGUGGGCUGAUGAUACAAUUUAGGUCUUGUCGGUACAUAUUGAAAUCAGGCUAUACAUGUUCUGAUAUUUUAGCGAACUGGGAAGAUCAUGAUGGUGUUUUGCAAUGUGAAAGUGCUUGCAAAAGAGAUGUAUUCUGGGGUCUGUCUCUAAAUUGGCUGUUGAACAUGUUAAAUGGAUAUGACUCAUGAGCGCUGUAAGAGUGUCAUUCUAAUGGAAUGAGGCUGAAUGUUUUAAUUUUUGGGUGGUUUUAAUUUUAUUGUUAUCGAGGGUGCUGUAUAUAGAUGUGCC
RNAcentral lists this unclassified non-coding RNA (695 nucleotides) under Hevea brasiliensis (rubber tree). Lineage: Eukaryota; Viridiplantae; Streptophyta; Magnoliopsida; Malpighiales; Euphorbiaceae. The record is from RNAcentral.